Molecule: transfer RNA, 82 nt
Filed under: Oryzias latipes (Japanese medaka)
Lineage: Eukaryota; Metazoa; Chordata; Actinopteri; Beloniformes; Adrianichthyidae
Description: tRNA-Leu (CAG) (tRNA-Leu-CAG-5-1)
Rfam family: tRNA
About the family: Transfer RNA (tRNA) molecules are approximately 80 nucleotides in length.
Source: Rfam by way of RNAcentral
GUCAGGAUGGCCGAGCGGUCCAAGGCGCUGCGUUCAGGUCGCAGUCUUGUAAGAGGCGUGGGUUCAAAUCCCACCUCUGACA